RNAcentral lists this long non-coding RNA (385 nucleotides) under Lepidothrix coronata (blue-crowned manakin). RNAcentral describes it as "lncRNA (ENSLCOG00000001238.1)". The record is from RNAcentral. Lineage: Eukaryota; Metazoa; Chordata; Aves; Passeriformes; Pipridae.
UGUUUGUGUUUUAAACCCACAAAUAUUUUGAGCUUUUUUUGAUUUCGUGCUUCCUGCAGGUGACAGCACUCCAGGGACAACACCCACCCGCAGCUGGGCACAAUGAGACCUAAUCUUGGCUGAGAGACCUGUAAGGGAUUGGAGGUGCUGCUGUGGCUGUUUGGUUUUAUCCUUUCCUGGGAGCGCUGCUGAUCAAGUUGAGAUGAAGGGUCUUUAUGGCAGAAUGAUGAAUUCCAUCUUUUCCAGAAUGGUCUUGGGCAUUCACUCUACAAAAAAUAUCCUUUCCCACUACAUAAAAAUGUAGUCUGAAAUCAACAUAAAACCAUCACGAAGUGAAACUACUGUUAAAGUUAAAAGAAAUACUACUUGAAAAAUAUCCCAUCAG